GGUGGGGAUUAGUGGCGAACGGGUGAGUAACACGUGGGCAAUCUGCCCUUCACUCUGGGACAAGCCCUGGAAACGGGGUCUAAUACCGGAUACUGACCUGCCAAGGCAUCUUGGCGGGUCGAAAGCUCCGGCGGUGAAGGAUGAGCCCGCGGCCUAUCAGCUUGUUGGUGAGGUAAUGGCUCACCAAGGCGACGACGGGUAGCCGGCCUGAGAGGGCGACCGGCCACACUGGGACUGAGACACGGCCCAGACUCCUACGGGAGGCAGCAGUGGGGAAUAUUGCACAAUGGGCGAAAGCCUGAUGCAGCGACGCCGCGUGAGGGAUGACGGCCUUCGGGUUGUAAACCUCUUUCAGCAGGGAAGAAGCGAAAGUGACGGUACCUGCAGAAGAAGCGCCGGCUAACUACGUGCCAGCAGCCGCGGUAAUACGUAGGGCGCAAGCGUUGUCCGGAAUUAUUGGGCGUAAAGAGCUCGUAGGCGGCUUGUCACGUCGGUUGUGAAAGCCCGGGGCUUAACCCCGGGUCUGCAGUCGAUACGGGCAGGCUAGAGUUCGGUAGGGGAGAUCGGAAUUCCUGGUGUAGCGGUGAAAUGCGCAGAUAUCAGGAGGAAC
RNAcentral lists this ribosomal RNA (610 nucleotides) under Streptomyces sp. SCAUEA2. RNAcentral describes it as "bacterial SSU rRNA". It matches the Rfam family "Bacterial small subunit ribosomal RNA", at positions 84 to 707 of the family's 1533-position model. Lineage: Bacteria; Bacillati; Actinomycetota; Actinomycetes; Kitasatosporales; Streptomycetaceae. The record is from RNAcentral.